UACGAAGGGGGCUAGCGUUGCUCGGAAUCACUGGGCGUAAAGGGUGCGUAGGCGGGUUUUUAAGUCAGGGGUGAAAUCCUGGAGCUCAACUCCAGAACUGCCUUUGAUACUGAAGAUCUUGAGUCCGGGAGAGGUGAGUGGAACUGCGAGUGUAGAGGUGAAAUUCGUAGAUAUUCGCAAGAACACCAGUGGCGAAGGCGGCGCACUGGCACGGUACUGACGCUGAGGCGCGAAAGCGUGGGGAGCAAACAGG
Molecule: ribosomal RNA, 253 nt
Filed under: uncultured bacterium
Lineage: Bacteria
Description: partial 16S ribosomal RNA
Rfam family: Bacterial small subunit ribosomal RNA
Source: RNAcentral